RNAcentral lists this ribosomal RNA (116 nucleotides) under Pteropus alecto (black flying fox). Lineage: Eukaryota; Metazoa; Chordata; Mammalia; Chiroptera; Pteropodidae. The record is from RNAcentral.
GUCUAUAGCCAUGCCAACCUGAACAAGCCCAAUGUCUGUUCUCGAAUGCUAAGCAGGUUCAGGCCUGGUUAGUACUUGGAUGGGAGACCACUUGGGAAGACCAGGUGCUGUAGGCA